This 454-nucleotide ribosomal RNA is filed under the name uncultured bacterium. RNAcentral's name for it is "partial 16S ribosomal RNA". It matches the Rfam family "Bacterial small subunit ribosomal RNA", at positions 341 to 792 of the family's 1533-position model. The record is from RNAcentral.
ACGGGAGGCAGCAGUGAGGAAUAUUGGACAAUGGAGGCAACUCUGAUCCAGCCAAACCGCGUGAAGGAAGACGGUCCUAUGGAUUGUAAACUUCUUUUGUAAGGGGAUAAACCUAGAUAUGUAUAUCUAGCUGAAGGUACCUUACGAAUAAGCAUCGGCUAACUCCGUGCCAGCAGCCGCGGUAAUACGGAGGAUGCGAGCGUUAUCCGGAUUUAUUGGGUUUAAAGGGUGCGCAGGCGGCACGUUAAGUCAGCGGUGAAAUGCAGGGGCUCAACCCCGGCACUGCCGUUGAAACUGGCGAGCUCGAGUACGGAUGAAGUCGGCGGAAUGUGAUGUGUAGCGGUGAAAUGCUUAGAUAUGUCACAGAACACCGAUUGCGAAGGCAGCUGACUAAUCCGCAACUGACGCUCAGGCACGAAAGCGUGGGGAUCGAACAGGAUUAGAUACCCUGGUA